This 224-nucleotide long non-coding RNA is filed under the name Elaeis guineensis (African oil palm). Its description in RNAcentral is "long non-coding RNA (EGUI_LNC010773)". The record is from RNAcentral. Lineage: Eukaryota; Viridiplantae; Streptophyta; Magnoliopsida; Arecales; Arecaceae.
AAUUUCCUUCGCCCAAUUAACUAUGGAGUCAGACUUGGGAGUUGGGGGGCAGGUGUUGGGAUAGAUCCUCAUCACUCAACCGACUACCCAUCUUAUUCAUCUCCCAGCCAACUAAAGGAGCCGCACUGACUAAGCUAUUACAACUCAACCUAACUCGGGUCAAUGAGUUUCGUCCAGUCAGAUCUACACCGACUAUUAUCGACAAUAAUCGACCGACCAGAGGC